RNAcentral lists this ribosomal RNA (355 nucleotides) under uncultured bacterium. RNAcentral describes it as "bacterial SSU rRNA". It matches the Rfam family "Bacterial small subunit ribosomal RNA", at positions 1 to 334 of the family's 1533-position model. The record is from RNAcentral.
GUACGCUAUUCAGAGUUUGAUCCUGGCUCAGGAUGAACGCUGGCGGCGUGCUUAACACAUGCAAGUCGAACGAAGCACUCUAUUUGAUUUCUUCGGAAUGAUUAUUUUGUGACUGAGUGGCGGACGGGUGAGUAACGCGUGGGUAACCUGCCUCAUACAGGGGGAUAACAGUUGGAAACGACUGCUAAUACCGCAUAAGCGCACAGGACCGCAUGGUCUGGUGUGAAAAACUCCGGUGGUAUGAGAUGGACCCGCGUCUGAUUAGCCAGUUGGUGGGGUAACGGCCUACCAAGGCGACGAUCAGUAGCCGACCUGAGAGGGUGACCGGCCACAUUGGGACUGAGACACGGCCCAA